RNAcentral lists this ribosomal RNA (521 nucleotides) under Penicillium chrysogenum. Its description in RNAcentral is "eukaryotic LSU rRNA". The stretch from base 153 to 305 matches the Rfam family "5.8S ribosomal RNA". The record is from RNAcentral. Lineage: Eukaryota; Fungi; Ascomycota; Eurotiomycetes; Eurotiales; Aspergillaceae.
ACCUCCCACCCGUGUUUAUUUUACCUUGUUGCUUCGGCGGGCCCGCCUUAACUGGCCGCCGGGGGGCUUACGCCCCCGGGCCCGCGCCCGCCGAAGACACCCUCGAACUCUGUCUGAAGAUUGUAGUCUGAGUGAAAAUAUAAAUUAUUUAAAACUUUCAACAACGGAUCUCUUGGUUCCGGCAUCGAUGAAGAACGCAGCGAAAUGCGAUACGUAAUGUGAAUUGCAAAUUCAGUGAAUCAUCGAGUCUUUGAACGCACAUUGCGCCCCCUGGUAUUCCGGGGGGCAUGCCUGUCCGAGCGUCAUUGCUGCCCUCAAGCACGGCUUGUGUGUUGGGCCCCGUCCUCCGAUCCCGGGGGACGGGCCCGAAAGGCAGCGGCGGCACCGCGUCCGGUCCUCGAGCGUAUGGGGCUUUGUCACCCGCUCUGUAGGCCCGGCCGGCGCUUGCCGAUCAACCCAAAUUUUUAUCCAGGUUGACCUCGGAUCAGGUAGGGAUACCCGCUGAACUUAAGCAUAUCAAU